Trichechus manatus latirostris (Florida manatee) is the source of this 1075-nucleotide long non-coding RNA. RefSeq lists it as uncharacterized. The record is from RefSeq and is a predicted model, not a curated record. The transcript has 4 exons. NCBI's taxonomy places the organism in Eukaryota, Metazoa, Chordata, Mammalia, Sirenia, Trichechidae.
AAGACGCGAUCUCUCGGGGUCAUUGGGAAAAAAGGCAGUGAGAUACCAGAAUGGGCCAAAAGCAAAUUGCUAAAUGACCACUUCCUAUUUAAGAGGAACGCCUACCUACCCAAAUGGAGAUGCUUAACCAUGUAUAUCCUGUUAAAAAAGAACCACGUGACUCUGAGAAAUCAGUCACACCUAUUUUAAAGUUGGUGGGACAGGAGGGACUGCGGUGUGGCUGCUUCCGGGUGGAUUUUCAGUUUAUGACCGUGGGGUUGUUCUCCCACGUUCUCACUCCUGUGCCUGAUUUUGUCCUGUGAGCAAGGCUGUCAGCAGGCUGACUGGGAAGACGCCACAGGAGCCUGGUGGCCAACAGUGAAGGCUCUGGGGUCCUCGGCUGGGGACAGGCCUGGCUCCACCACAGGGGAAAAAAAGAAAAAAGAACUCCGGAGCAUACAGGUGUCCGCCACCACACAGGGGUUGCUGUGAAUCAAGCCUAGGGAAAUACCAGAAUUACACAAGAAAGAGAUUGAAAGGAUCGAUAAGAAGCAAGGCUGGAAAAGGUCCCUGGGUGGGGCAAACGGUUUGCUUUUUGCUACUAACCUAAAGGUUGGCAGCUCAAACCCACCCAGCGGCACUGCGGAAGAAAGGCCAGGUGAACGGCAAGGCUGGAUUGACUCGCAUUUUCACUGCAGGAAGGCAAGAAAGUAAAUCUUUGAUAGAUGCUUUAGCCCUGGAGAUGGCCUUGCCUUAAAAAAAAGAAAAAGAACCAAGAAAAAGAAAUUCAGCAAGUUGAGAAAAGCAUCUCCAUCCAAGCAGCUACACAGAAAGGCUGAUGAACUGAGAAGGCUCCAGCUUUGCAGAUAAAUUCCAAAGAAGAUUGACACACAGAGAUGAUCAAUAUCUGCUGCUGAGGAUGUGGCUGAAAAAGCCGACGUCUCUUCCACAGUUCAAUGGACCCUUGACCUCCACUGACUUAACUAUUCCUGAAUCUAACAUGAGGUCCCUGGUGGCACAAAUGGUUUGCACUUGGCUGCUAACCAGAAGGUUGGAGGUUCAAAUCCACCCAGUGGCACCACAAAAGAAAGGCCUG